This 165-nucleotide ribosomal RNA is filed under the name uncultured Geobacter sp. Its description in RNAcentral is "partial 16S ribosomal RNA". It matches the Rfam family "Bacterial small subunit ribosomal RNA", at positions 340 to 499 of the family's 1533-position model. The record is from RNAcentral. Lineage: Bacteria; Pseudomonadati; Thermodesulfobacteriota; Desulfuromonadia; Geobacterales; Geobacteraceae.
UACGGGAGGCAGCAGUGGGGAAUUUUGCGCAAUGGGCGAAAGCCUGACGCAGCAACGCCGCGUGAGUGAUGAAGGCUUUCGGGUCGUAAAGCUCUGUCAAGGGGAAAGAAGUGUAUUGUGGUUAAUACCCGCGAUACUGACGUACCCGUAAGAGACCCAUUCCUC